Sapajus apella (tufted capuchin) is the source of this 142-nucleotide long non-coding RNA. RefSeq lists it as uncharacterized. The record is from RefSeq and is a predicted model, not a curated record. NCBI's taxonomy places the organism in Eukaryota, Metazoa, Chordata, Mammalia, Primates, Cebidae. The transcript is spliced from 4 exons.
UAUGUAAGGGUUAUUGCCAAGUUUAAAAUGAAGAAACUGAGGCCAGCAUAAGAAAAUUAAAUGCCAAUUUACCUGGCUCCCAGGCGAGGUUCCAUGAUCCCCAGGAAAGGGGCCAGGGAAGUUGCGCCUGACUUGUCUCAGG